GGCUCAGUAGCUCAGUAGCAGAGCACUUGCUUAGCAUGUAAGAGGCCCUGGGCUA
This 55-nucleotide transfer RNA is filed under the name Heterocephalus glaber (naked mole-rat). The record is from Rfam by way of RNAcentral. Lineage: Eukaryota; Metazoa; Chordata; Mammalia; Rodentia; Bathyergidae.